RNAcentral lists this ribosomal RNA (213 nucleotides) under uncultured bacterium. RNAcentral's name for it is "partial 16S ribosomal RNA". It matches the Rfam family "Bacterial small subunit ribosomal RNA", at positions 28 to 240 of the family's 1533-position model. The record is from RNAcentral.
GAUUAACGCUGGCGGCGUGCAUGAGACAUGCAAGUCGAACGGACGAUCGAGGGCUUGCUCUGAUCGUUAGUGGCGGACGGCUGAGUAACGCGUAGGUGACCUGCCCCGAAGUGGGGGAUAACUGCCCGAAAGGGUGGCUAAUACCGCAUGUGGUGGUUCGUUCAUUCGGAACCAUCAAAGCAGAGAUGCGCUUCGGGAGGGGCCUGCGUCCGA